CGUUGUACACACCGCCCGUCACACCAUGGGAGCGGGUUCUGCCAGAAGUAGUUAGCCUAACCGCAAGGGAGGGCGAUUACCACGGCAGGGUUCGUGACUGGGGUG
Molecule: ribosomal RNA, 105 nt
Filed under: uncultured bacterium
Lineage: Bacteria
Description: partial 16S ribosomal RNA
Rfam family: Bacterial small subunit ribosomal RNA
Source: RNAcentral